Daphnia pulex (common water flea) is the source of this 877-nucleotide long non-coding RNA. RefSeq lists it as uncharacterized. The record is from RefSeq and is a predicted model, not a curated record. NCBI's taxonomy places the organism in Eukaryota, Metazoa, Arthropoda, Branchiopoda, Diplostraca, Daphniidae. The transcript has 6 exons.
UUUUUUUAAGUCAAAAUUUAAUUUAUUUAAGAAUUUUCUUAUUAUUUUUUAUCGCUUUUUGAAGUUUGAUUUUAAAAAAAAGGUAUGGCAUUCAGUAAACCGGCAACACCACACGAUGUAAAAAUAAAAUGGCUACCGGUAUCCAUUUCUACGCUUGCCGUUCCCUUAAAUCGUAGUGAUAUUCUCCGAAACUGCUGCUAUCGAAGCUCAGAUUGGUGAUACUCAAACUCAACAGUCAACACUUAACUUGAAGUGUCAAGAUUGCUGGAGUAGUUUAGAUUGGAGUGCUAAUGUGCAAUUGAAGCUAAACAUUGACCAGAGAACGCAGUUUAAUGUAAGCUACCAGCAACCAAAAUCAAGGAUUUAAAGACGCCACACUGAAAGAAAGUGUGGUGUUUCUUCUGGGACUUUCUAUAAGGAUUGAUUUGUUAAAUUGGAUAAUUAAGGACUAAUUUGGAAAUGACACAGACUUUCCCAAGAUUUGGAUAGUUGUGAUUUGCUGCUACACCGUACGCCUGAAGAAUAGCCUGAAGAAUCUACACCAUAUUACUGCGUGCUGAUUGUACUCUUGAUGCCGUGCAAGUCCAAAUGGUUAAAUGAAAGCCACCUUAUUGAUGUUUAGCAACUGUUUAAUCUGAAAGGGGCUGCCGUAUUUGUUCCUGUCAGAGAAUUUAUUGUAGUAAGUAGAAUGUUCAUCUUGAAAUGGUUGAAGAGAUUCGAGUGGAGUCUACUCUUAAACAACAAGGGGAUUCAACAUUAUCUAGUUACAGAUUUAAGUUUUACAGCAGUAACUUGAGUUGAGCAACAGUAAUAUAUAAUUUGUGCUAUGGUGUAUCUUCUGUAUGAGUGAGAAAUGAAAUAUACAAAUUAUAAAUGA